GACCCUAUACUCUCACAAACACUCUCAUCUUUUUUUUUUUUUUUUUUUGAAAACUCUCUCAAGUUUUCUCUCCAUCUUCAACCUCAAGAACACUAAGGUUGGAAGCAUUAAGCUUUAGUCUAUGAAGGGUUUUUCCCUAAGGUUUGGAAAGGGUCUUGAAGGAGCCAAAGCUAAUAGGAAGAUCCAAACCUUAAGCAAGAACAACAAGAGAUGGUUAAAACUACCAAUGAAAGUGGAAAAUUACGGUGAGCAAUUAACGCAGAAGAAAUGGAAGUAGAAGGCAAGGAGACCAAAUAUGUACCUUGGCUGCUUGAAUUUCAAGAUCAUCAACUACUAUCUGAGUU
Long non-coding RNA from Humulus lupulus (European hop), 344 nucleotides. RefSeq lists it as uncharacterized. Lineage: Eukaryota; Viridiplantae; Streptophyta; Magnoliopsida; Rosales; Cannabaceae. The transcript is spliced from 3 exons. The record is from RefSeq and is a predicted model, not a curated record.